ACUUAUUUUAAUUUUCUAAGGUAUGUAGUUUACUUUUUGAUGAAACUUUAUGUUUAGCGUUUAUUACAACUGAAAAGUUUAUGUUUAUAUAUUAGAGUAUAUUUUGUUAGCCCACCCUCGAUAUUUUUUCUAGCUCCCCGACCGCAUGCUGGUAUUGUUAUUCAUGGAAGUAAUUACGUGUGUGUAUUCCUUUAACUCUUGAUUAGAGCUACUCUAAUUAGCUGCAUUAAAAUUGUUACAAAUUUUGUGAGAUUUAAUACUUAUCAAGGAUUGCUCAAAAAAAAAAAAAAAACUUAUCAAGGUAUCAACUUAUUUUGUGGUUUUUCAGAAGAAGAAAAAGAGGUAUCAACAUUAAAGCAGUUAUUAUCAGUGAAAUUUAGCCAACGUCCUACCAACGACAUAUAAUUGGUUUACUUUUUUGUGUGACGGGUACAAUAAUUAGUUAUGAGACCCUACAGCGGGGUCUUCCAUUGUUUCACAUCACUAGUCAUUCCUCAGGUCGAAAUAUUUUCAAAAUUGUUCAAUAUGCACCUCAAUUUCGCUUCUUAUUAAACUAACAUUUGAUCAACUAUUUUUAUGUGUAAAAUUUGAUCGGGUCGUAACUUAUAACUUAUGAUCGGUCUUUCUUUUCAGUCAAAUGAACAAUUUUGAUGUACUUAUUGAACAACCAUCAAAUAUUUUUGAACCAUAAUUUAUAGUUGGCCUUUGUCGACCCACCAGUCCCAAAUUCGACCAUUGCCCAUUUAUGUGAAUGGACAUCAUUUCUCCUAUCAAGCUUCAAUCAUGUUAGAUUACGGACACUUUUUUUGGUUUUGUUUCUUUAAGAUUUUAUCUACGGUGGGAGAUCAUUCAGGAGUGUAUUUUUUUUACUAAAAGAUACUCAUAGCAUUUCACUUAAAACAAGGCAUUGUUGAAACAUCGGAGAAAUAUUGGAGUUAGCAUGGACAACUCCCUUCACCUGUCUCCGAGUAAACUCAAUGAGAAAAGAAAAAGCAACAACAGUUGCCUAUAAUGUGUCAAUUUACAUCAUGCCGAUCAUAAUUAAAACGAUACACCACUUUCUUAACAUCGAGUGCAAAAUCAACCGGUCCUAAGUCCUAACUGCAACUCGUGUGUCCAAGUGAGAGCAUGGAAAACACCCAAUGGUUCUCCUAUAUUCACAUUACAUAAAGGCGAAAUCCAUUUUUGUUUUGGUGAGAACAAAACGGUCUUCCUCAUCGCGAAUGCAAAUACCAAUCCCAACAUGGUUUUGAUGAGUAGAAAGCCAUCUCUGUUGACUGUUGGUUGUCUGCUCCAGCCCGUGAUAGCUUGCUC
RNAcentral lists this long non-coding RNA (1314 nucleotides) under Medicago truncatula (barrel medic). Its description in RNAcentral is "long non-coding RNA (MTRU_LNC001009)". Lineage: Eukaryota; Viridiplantae; Streptophyta; Magnoliopsida; Fabales; Fabaceae. The record is from RNAcentral.